CCUACGGGUGGCUGCAGUGGGGAAUAUUGGACAAUGGGCGAAAGCCUGAUCCAGCCAUGCCGCGUGUGUGAAGAAGGCCUUCGGGUUGUAAAGCACUUUCAGUGGGGAAGAAAGCCUUGGGGCUAAUACCCUCGAGGAAGGACAUCACCCACAGAAGAAGCACCGGCUAACUCCGUGCCAGCAGCCGCGGUAAUACGGAGGGUGCGAGCGUUAAUCGGAAUUACUGGGCGUAAAGCGCGCGUAGGCGGUCUGAUAAGCCGGUUGUGAAAGCCCCGGGCUCAACCUGGGAACGGCAUCCGGAACUGUCAGGCUAGAGUGCAGGAGAGGAAGGUAGAAUUCCCGGUGUAGCGGUGAAAUGCGUAGAGAUCGGGAGGAAUACCAGUGGCGAAGGCGGCCUUCUGGACUGACACUGACGCUGAGGUGCGAAAGCGUGGGUAGCAAACAGGAUUAGAUACCCGGGUAGU
This 464-nucleotide ribosomal RNA is filed under the name Vreelandella stevensii. RNAcentral describes it as "partial 16S ribosomal RNA". It matches the Rfam family "Bacterial small subunit ribosomal RNA", at positions 338 to 794 of the family's 1533-position model. Lineage: Bacteria; Pseudomonadati; Pseudomonadota; Gammaproteobacteria; Oceanospirillales; Halomonadaceae. The record is from RNAcentral.